Molecule: long non-coding RNA, 405 nt
Filed under: Bos taurus (domestic cattle)
Lineage: Eukaryota; Metazoa; Chordata; Mammalia; Artiodactyla; Bovidae
Description: long non-coding RNA NONBTAT010726
Source: RNAcentral
CGAUUUCCUCUUUCCACUUAGAGUGUCCUAGCAUCCUUCCCUGUAAUCUUUGUUUAGAGUUGAGCACCAGGUUCUAGAAAGGGAGUGUGGAAGCUGAGGGUGUAACCCCACAAGCCAAAUCUUGACAAGUUUCUGUGUAUGGGGAUUAGGAAAAGGAUGACUGAUUCUUGAAGUUCUGGUCUGACUUUGGGCCUGGCUUGGGAAUGUGGAGAUUCUGGCAUGAAGGAAAAGAGAGUAUAAGUAAAAACUCUGCAGAAUUGUUAAUGUAACAUCCAGUUCCUGCUUACAGAAAUGAUCCGAUCCCUCUCACAGCUGUGGAACACACACAUGUAGGCGCACAUGUGAUCUUGUGAACCCAGGCUCUCUUCAAAAUGUGCCCUCCCCCGCCCAGCCUUUCUUCUGGAC